Molecule: ribosomal RNA, 437 nt
Filed under: uncultured Clostridium sp.
Lineage: Bacteria; Bacillati; Bacillota; Clostridia; Eubacteriales; Clostridiaceae
Description: partial 16S ribosomal RNA
Rfam family: Bacterial small subunit ribosomal RNA
Source: RNAcentral
ACGGAAGGCAGCAGUGGGGGAUAUUGCACAAUGGAGGAAACUCUGAUGCAGCAACGCCGCGUGAGGGAAGAAGGUCUUCGGGUUGUAAACCUAAGUUAUCAGGGACGAAACAAAUGACGGUACCUGAAGAGAAAGCUCCGGCUAACUACGUGCCAGCAGCCGCGGUAAUACGUAGGGAGCGAGCGUUGUCCGGAUUUACUGGGUGUAAAGGGUGCGUAGGCGGGCUUGCAAGUCAGGCGUGAAAUCCCGCGGCUUAACUGCGGGGCUGCGCUUGAAACUGUAGGUCUUGAGUGAGGUAGAGGCAAGCGGAAUUCCCAGUGUAGCGGUGAAAUGCGUAGAUAUUGGGAGGAACACCAGUGGCGAAGGCGGCCUGCUGGGCCUUAACUGACGCUGAGGCACGAAAGUAUGGGGAGCAAACAGGAUUAGAUACCCUGGUA